GUGGCGUUACAUCUAUAAUGGCGGCUAUCGUGAGUCUUAAAAUUUUGAAAAACGACGAAGAAAAAAUAUGUAUCGAAGAACUGGCAUUUCAUUCUACUAGCAAUUUGAAAUGCUCAACAGAAAAAUUAAAAAACUUGAGCGGAUCAGUUACUGCUGUGCAGAGAAGAGCAAAUGAAGUCUUAACCAGCCUUAUAAAUCAGGAAAAAACUUCGAAUGAAGUCAGUGGUGGACAAUAUCAUUCAUUAAAAAGAGAAGACAAUGAACUUGAAGAGGAAGAUGAAGGUGAUGAUAAAGAUAGUCAUGAUUCCAAGAAGCUGAAAACAUCAUAGGAAAUGUUUUCAUAAAUGAAGAUUUGAAGACAUUCUGGGUAGCUUUUCAGAUUUCAAUGGCAGGUUAAGAAAAUGUAGCAGAGUGGGAGGGAACAUUGUACCAUAUGGUCUUUAUCAAGUGAUUCUCCAAGCGAAAUCAAAGGAGCCAUGCAUAUUGACAAAAUGUUCAUAUCAAAACUCGCAUUGAUGUACAGAGAAACCAGGAAAAGUUAAUACUUUUAUUAAUUCUGAUAGACAAAAAAAUCUAAAAACUGGAAUGUUUUAUAACCCUUUUUGACUAUAGUGUUACAAAUUAUUAUAAAGAUAGUACCUUAGUUUCCAGUUACAAAUUUUGACUUUUUAAGCAGUACAGGAUUGAGUAAUAUUGUAAAAUAUAUUUGGAACCAUAAAGGGAUUUUACUAAGGUGUAAA
Long non-coding RNA from Limulus polyphemus (Atlantic horseshoe crab), 740 nucleotides. RefSeq lists it as uncharacterized. Lineage: Eukaryota; Metazoa; Arthropoda; Merostomata; Xiphosura; Limulidae. The record is from RefSeq and is a predicted model, not a curated record. The transcript is spliced from 3 exons.